Pyrus x bretschneideri (Chinese white pear) is the source of this 692-nucleotide long non-coding RNA. RefSeq lists it as uncharacterized. NCBI's taxonomy places the organism in Eukaryota, Viridiplantae, Streptophyta, Magnoliopsida, Rosales, Rosaceae. The record is from RefSeq and is a predicted model, not a curated record. The transcript is spliced from 2 exons.
UAUAAUAUUGUCAAAUUAAUUUUAGGCUUAUUUUUAGCUAUGUCCUUUGGUACUUGAUUUUAAUUUUAUUUUGCUCCUUGUAACUCAAAAAUUGACACCAUACUCUCUGAAACUCAAAGUUGCUCCACGUUGGCCCGAAAACUCAAAGUUUUCUCUACCCUGCCUUCCCCGAUUUGCUCCACCGUGGCAAUAGCUUUUGUGCUUUCUUCCACCCCGUAGAACCCACUCUAUUCAGAUUGUCUGGGUCCUGCGAUUUUGUGAUAAUCUUCCAUGGUAUUUCUUAUGUUCUGGGUGCACAGUUUUUUCCAUAUUCCAAUGAUGGCCCUGGAUCGCAUAUGCACUGUUAAUUUUAUUAUUAUUAUUAUUAUUAUUAUUUUAAAUUCUUCCUUAUCCCUUCUCUCUCUUCCCUCUCGCAGUUCUCCCCGGACUCAAGAGAGUCCUAACAGCAACAUUCGAGCUUUGCAUGUUCGAAUUUACCCCUCUAUCGAAGAGUUCAAUAAGCCCAGUUUGCGAUGGGCAUUCCGACGAAGAUGCGAGUUUUUUCUGGCCAACUUCAGGCCUUUCCCACCUUUUUUGGGUCCGGCGAAAGUAAUAGGCAUACAACAGAUUUUUUUUACUUACUUUCAAAAUUAUUUUAUAAGUAAUUUUUGUAUCCGUGAAUUGCUUGAUUCAAAUGUUAUAUCUCAUCUGCA